Molecule: small RNA, 632 nt
Filed under: Pongo abelii (Sumatran orangutan)
Lineage: Eukaryota; Metazoa; Chordata; Mammalia; Primates; Hominidae
Description: processed transcript
Source: RNAcentral
AGUGGAAAAGUGGAGCCUGCACCGCCCGCUUUCUGCACCCCCGGACACCGCCCCGGUCUCACGCAUGCGCAGGCCGAUCCAGUUCUUUUCGGCUGGAAUGGGGAAUUUGUGAGGUCAAGGAUGCAUUCCAGGAAAGUUCCAUAAAAAUAUACCAUCAACUCCAACCUGAUAUUUGACCUAGCUGUGGAAAACCUCAUUGGCUCCUCACUAGAUCAGACCAUAAAAAUGAUUCAGGAAUGAAAAUCUAAGAUAAAUUCCCACCACUUCAAGAUGUUCUUAUACAAGUCAACAGUCUAGCAGAUCAGCCAGUCUCUUUCAUCAUCAAGCAGACAUACUCAAGAAAGAGGAAUAGUGAAGUGAAAUAUACAGAAGCAUGUUCAAGUUCAUCUGUUGAAUGUGGAAUUGUGAAUAGUGACAAUAUUGAGAAAAAUACUGACUCCAAUCUGCAAACUUCAACUUCAUUUGAGCCACAUUUCAAAAAAAAAAAAAAGAAAAAUUUGAAACAUUAAGGGAAAACAGUUGGGUAAAAGAUCCAUUUGCUUUUCGAAACCUUGAAUCAAUAAUUGAGCUAAACUUGGUGCCUGAAGAAGAGAAUGAAUUAUUGCAGCUUAGUUCUUCAUAUACAUUGAAGA